RNAcentral lists this unclassified non-coding RNA (662 nucleotides) under Hevea brasiliensis (rubber tree). Lineage: Eukaryota; Viridiplantae; Streptophyta; Magnoliopsida; Malpighiales; Euphorbiaceae. The record is from RNAcentral.
GGGGAUUCCUGUGAUGCAGGGAGUAUUCCUUCCUACCUGCUAAUAGGGGUGAUUUUCUUCCAUCUUGACACUUCUAACUAUUUUAUUUAAUUAAAAUAUAAAGCUUCCUGGAGCAGAAUUUUGUUUUUGUGUCCCUGUGUAUAUGAGAGAGUGAGAUGAUUGCUUGGUCUUGGAGAGAAUUUGACCUGGAAGAGCAGAAGGGAUAGUUUGUGAUAUGUUGUGUAUGUGUGAGCAUGACUUUGUAACUUGUCCUUUAUCAAUAGUUUACCUUAAUCCAAUAAUGAAUAUUUGUCUAGGAUAAGUUAAAAAUUGAAAAUAGCUUGCAUGUGUCAGAAUUAAAAAGAAAUAAUAAUGAGUGCAAGCGGCCAAGUGAAGAAAUGUAAUAAAAAAAAAAAAUUGCCCAAGUGAAUAGGUGGUGCAAAGAAAUUAAAUGCAUAGUUGGCAUCAAGCUGGUGCCAACAUAUCCAUUUGUGUUUAUGGGGCUUGGUUAAAAAAAUUUAAAGAGCUAGAGAGAGCUAAGGAGAGCAAGAGCAAGAGUAUUUGCUUAGGUAAAUAUUAGAGCUCCAGUUUGAGAGUGAAAUUUGCUCAUGAUAUUUUUCCCUUUGGGUUUUAGAGGGAUUAUUGCUUCAUUGGGGGUAGCUUAAACAUUGGGUGGAGAUAGU